ACACCUUGCCUAGCCACACCCCCACGGGAUACAGCAGUGACAAAAAUUAAGCCAUGAACGAAAGUUUGACUAAGCUAUACUAACUACCAAGGGUUGGUAAAUUUCGUGCCAGCCACCGCGGUCAUACGAUUAACCCAAGUUAAUAGAUAUACGGCGUAAAACGUGUUAAGGAAAUUGCAUUCAAUAAAGUUAAACCCGAACUGUGCCGUAAAAAGCUUCAGCCAGGAUAAAAAUAAACUACGAAAGUGACUUUAAUUAAUCCGACCACACGAUAGCUAAGACGCAAACUGGGAUUAGAUACCCCACUAUGCUUAGCCCUAAACCUAAAUAGCCAACACAACAAUGCUAUUCGCCAGAGUACUACUAGCAACAGCUUAAAACUCAAAGGACUUGGCGGUGCUUUAUAUCCCUCUAGAGGAGCCUGUUCUGUAAUCGAUAAACCCCGAUAAACCUCACCAACCCUUGCUAAUACAGCCUAUAUACCGCCAUYUUCAGCAAACCCUAAAAAGGGACCGAAGUAAGCACAAUUACAAAUCAUAAAAACGUUAGGUCAAGGUGUAGCCUAUGAGUUGGAAAGAAAUGGGCUACAUUUUCUAAUGCUAGAACAUCUUAACGAAAAUUUUCGUGAAACCGAAAAUAGAAGGAGGAUUUAGUAGUAAAUUAAGAAUAGAGAGCUUAAUUGAAUAAGGCCAUGAAGCACGCACACACCGCCCGUCACCCUCCUCAAGUACGAAAAUACAUAACACCUAAAACCUAUUUACAAAUGUAGCAAAUAUGAGAGGAGACAAGUCGUAACAAGGUAAGCGUACUGGAAAGUGCGCUUGGAUAAU
This 830-nucleotide ribosomal RNA is filed under the name Thoopterus nigrescens (swift fruit bat). Its description in RNAcentral is "partial 12S ribosomal RNA". It matches the Rfam family "Bacterial small subunit ribosomal RNA", at positions 324 to 1533 of the family's 1533-position model. Lineage: Eukaryota; Metazoa; Chordata; Mammalia; Chiroptera; Pteropodidae. The record is from RNAcentral.